RNAcentral lists this ribosomal RNA (443 nucleotides) under uncultured bacterium. RNAcentral describes it as "partial 16S ribosomal RNA". It matches the Rfam family "Bacterial small subunit ribosomal RNA", at positions 338 to 795 of the family's 1533-position model. The record is from RNAcentral.
CCUACGGGUGGCAGCAGUGGGGAAUAUUGCGCAAUGGGCGGAACCCUGAUGCAGCAAUGCCGCGUGAAGGAAGACGGCCUUCGGAUUGUAAAGUUCUUUCAAUAGGGAAGAAAGAAAUGAGGGUAAUUACAUAAGAAGUCCCCGUUAACUACGGGCCAGCAGCCGCGGUAAUACGUAGGGUGCAAGCGUUAUCCGGAAUUACUGGGUGUAAAGGGAGAGUAGGCGGCAAGGUAAGCGAUAUGUGAAAGCCUUGGGCUUAAGCUGAGAAUUGCAUAAGGAAAUGUCGGGCUAGAGUACAGGAGAGGAGAGUGGAAUUCCAGGUGUAGCGGUGAAAUGCGUAGAGAUUAGGAAGAAUACCAGUGGCGAAGGUGGCUUUCUGGACAGAGACUGACGCUGAGGCGCGAAAGCGUGGGGAGCGAACAGGAUUAGAUACCCGUGUAGUC